This is a long non-coding RNA of Ruditapes philippinarum (Manila clam), 2132 nucleotides long. RefSeq lists it as uncharacterized. The transcript is spliced from 3 exons. Lineage: Eukaryota; Metazoa; Mollusca; Bivalvia; Venerida; Veneridae. The record is from RefSeq and is a predicted model, not a curated record.
UGUAGUGGAAUGCAAAAAUGGGGCUUCUUGACGUUGACGUCGUUAUCGAGAAAAUGCGAGAUCUUUGACGCCAUUUUUUCCUCAUUAUCUUUCCUUUCAUCUGGCAGUAAAACAGCGCUUAAUUAUAUAAUAAAUGACUUGUCAGCACAUUGGGUCCUGAUUCAUACAGAGUAAUAAACGGCAAAAAUAAUUUGCUACCGUUCAUCCUAUGACAGCAAGUAAAAUUAUCACGGGAAAAGAUUUUUACGAGGACAACUGAUUACGUCAUCUGACAUUGAUUGUUGAUAAAAUAUUGGUGAAUAGAUUUGAUGUUUUUCGGUGUUUUAAAGAAUAUUUUACACUGGCAACGUCUGCUUUGACAAAACUUAUAUAUAACUGGAUUAUUCUGGUUAGGCACUUCACCAUGCACUCUUGAUGUAAAGUACUCCAACCUUUGGGAUUAUGCCCAACAAGUGCACUUUUCCCAUCAUUCUCAACCGGUUGGUCCAAUAUGUUUUAGGACACCAAGAAUGUUCCAUGUGUUUGGUGUUUAGGUAGAGGGAUCAGGACUUCAUGGAAGUGUCAGUCUCAACAUGCUUGGUACUUUUAUAUCUGGAAAGUGAAAAACAAUGCAACAGGUUGCCUAAGUGUACUGUCCUGAAGUCAUCAAGAUAUGGGCACAAUAUCCUACAGCUUAAAGAUGAUCCAGAAAAUCCCUAUGAAGUCAUUUCUUAAGUUAAGCCCUCAAACUGUUAUCCAAAUACCACCAUUUUUGUGCAAGUGCAAUGGAGCCAAGUGUUAUAACAUGUAAAGAAUAUAUUAACUCUGUGGAGGUAAAAAUGUUUUUACUGAAACAAUUGCCUCCCAGAGGUCUUUUACCUGAAGUACAGUAAUGAUGCAGCAAGACAUUAGUAUCUAUUUGAACAAAUUGGGCAGUUCUUCAAAUCUGACAUAGCUAAAAUACUGUGUGGCCAAAAACCAGUUAUCCCGAUAACAGAAAUAAAGUUGGAUAUUGACAAUUAUGUGAAAAAGGUGGAAAGAGAAAGAGCAGUCUUUUACUCUUGAGUAUAAUUGGAGUUCCUAUAACAUAGUGGUCAUGUAUGGACUGUCAUUAUUUUCUUCAUUUCAAAUAUAGCUUAUGAUACAAGUAGAUGCUUCAUAAGAUAAGACUGCAAGUGUGUUGCAUAACUGUUGCUCUUAGGACUAAUGCUAUAUUAACAAGUGUGUGGAUCAUUGAUGCAUAGAUAUUAUUUAAUGGCUGCCUAUAUUAUUUUUGGAUGUCAGUUUACCAGUUACUAAUUUCCAUCAUUAAAUUAAGUUUAGUGUAAUACAACAUUUGUCAUUUUACUCUAAGUUAUAGAAUUCUAUUGAACCUAUGCAUGUUAUGAAUUGAUCAACUGUCAACUGAUCUUAAGCUUUAAUCUAGAUUGAAAAUGACUGUAUGAAAAUGUAAAGUAACAUUAAGCUUCAGUACUUGUUGUCAAAUUUUAAACAUUUUAUAGUUGUAGAAUAUGAAAUCUAUAUGAUCUAUAACAAUGAUAGGUCAGUUGAAUAUUUAUGUUGAUAUUAGUGUAGAAUCACAUUGUAAAUUAUCACCAAUCCUUAAAAUUGUUAAAAGAAGCAGCAAAAUCAAAGAAUAUUCAAUGGUAGCUAGGCAACCAAUAUUCCCUUCAGUUGGGAAGGAUUUUAAACAGGUGCAUCAGAAUGAAAAUACUUUAUAUGUUUGAUCACAUUGAAAAUAAUUGAAAAAUAAUCAUCACUAAGUUAUAAAAUAUUAAAAUAUAGAACCUUAAAUGUACCUGAAAAUAAAUGUUGUGAACAUGAUAUUAGAAGUAUCAUUUUUAAUUUAUAUUAUUAAGGAAUGGUGAGGCAGGCUGUUCUCUGAAUACCUUAUUAAGUUCAGUUACACAUUAUUUGUGGUAUUGUUUUCAUAUUUUUAUAAUAGCACAAAUUGCUAUUUUUAACUAAGUUGUAAUCUCCUGUAUGCCUGUAAAAAUUUGGAAAUUUAGAAAUUUAUAAAAAAAAUAAUUAUUAUUCAUUGGUUGCUAAGCAACCUAAUUAUAUGCAGAGACAGUUUUAAGUAAUGAACAUUUUUUGUAGGAAUUAUCUUUAUGUCAUUUUAAUUAAAUAUAAUGCUAGUUAAUUCAAAGUCC